RNAcentral lists this ribosomal RNA (491 nucleotides) under uncultured bacterium. RNAcentral's name for it is "partial 16S ribosomal RNA". It matches the Rfam family "Bacterial small subunit ribosomal RNA", at positions 29 to 507 of the family's 1533-position model. The record is from RNAcentral.
GUGAACGCUGGCGGUAGGCCUAACACAUGCCAGUCGAACGGCAGCACAGUAAGAGCUUGCUCUUACGGGUGGCGAGUGGCGGACGGGUGAGGAAUACAGCGGAAUCUACUUUUUCGUGGGGGAUAACGUAGGGAAACUUACGCUAAUACCGCAUACGACCUACGGGUGAAAGCAGGGGAUCUUCGGACCUUGCGCGAUUGCAUGAGCCGAUGUCGGAUUAGCUAGUUGGCGGGGUAAAGGCCCACCAAGGCGACGAUCCGUAGCUGGUCUGAGAGGAUGAUCAGCCACACUGGAACUGAGACACGGUCCAGACUCCUACGGGAGGCAGCAGUGGGGAAUAUUGGACAAUGGGCGCAAGCCUGAUCCAGCCAUACCGCGUGGGUGAAGAAGGCCUUCGGGUUGUAAAGCCCUUUUGUUGGGAAAGAAAAGCAGCAGGUUAAUACCCCGCUGUUCUGACGGUACCCAAAGAAUAAGCACCGGCUAACUUCGUG